RNAcentral lists this ribosomal RNA (499 nucleotides) under uncultured bacterium. Its description in RNAcentral is "partial 16S ribosomal RNA". It matches the Rfam family "Bacterial small subunit ribosomal RNA", at positions 899 to 1397 of the family's 1533-position model. The record is from RNAcentral.
ACUCAAAGGAAUUGACGGGGGCCCGCACAAGCGGUGGAGCAUGUGGUUUAAUUCGACGCAACGCGCAGAACCUUACCAGCCCUUGACAUGUCGUGCUACGCGCAGAGAUGCGCGGUCCCCGCAAGGGGCGCGAACACAGGUGCUGCAUGGCUGUCGUCAGCUCGUGUCGUGAGAUGUUGGGUUAAGUCCCGCAACGAGCGCAACCCUUGCCUUCAGUUGCCAUCAUUCAGUUGGGCACUCUGGAGGGACUGCCGGCGGUAAGCCGGAGGAAGGUGGGGAUGACGUCAAGUCCUCAUGGCCCUUACGGGCUGGGCUACACACGUGCUACAAUGGUGGCGACAGAGGGCGCAGGCGAGAGCGCAAGCUUUAGCAAAUCCUCAAAAGCCAUCUCAGUUCAGAUUGCGCUCUGCAACUCGGGCGCAUGAAGGUGGAAUCGCUAGUAAUCGCAGAACAGCAGGCUGCGGUGAAUACGUUCCCGGGCCUUGCACACACCGCCCGU